AUGCUCCAUCUCCGGCAGCGCAUCGCUUCCCAUAUCAUCUCCUCCUCCGCCACCUCUGCCGUCUCCUCCUCCGCCACCUCUGGCAUCUCCUCACUCCGCCGCCUCCUCUGCGCAGGCGCAGCCCCCGUUUCCCCGAACCCCAGUGGAUUCGCCGUCGAGGAGUACCUGGUCGACACCUGCGGCCUCACCCGAUCCCAAGCCAUCAAGGCCGCCUCGAAGCUCUCCCACCUCAAAUCCCCCGCCAAACCCAACGCCGUCCUCGCCUUCCUCUCCGGCCUCGGCCUCUCCCGCGCCAAUGUCGCCGCCGUCGUCGCCAAAGAUCCGCUUUUCCUCUGCGCCGGCGUGGAGAGAACCUUGGUCCCCGUCGUUGACGGCCUCACUGGCCUCGGCCUCUCGCAUUCCGAGAUUAGCGGCCUCGUCUCGCUUGCUCACCGCCGCUUCCGCUGCAGAGCCAUCGUCCCUAAGCUGCGCUACUACCUGCCCCUCUUCGGCUCAUUCGAGAACUUACGCCGGCUGCUCAAGGAUCAAUCCCACCUUCUCUCGAGCGACCUUGACAAGGUGCUGAAGCCCAAUAUUGUGUCCCUGCAGGAGUGCGGGUUAGGUGGUUGUGAUAUUGCCAAGCUGUGUAUCAGUGCGCCGAGGAUACUGGCAACUAACCCGGAGCGCAUACGGGCAAUGGCGGCAUGUGCUGAAAGAUUAGGCGUGCGCCGUGGCUCCGGUAUGUUCAGGGAAGCGCUGCAGGCUGUCUCAUUCCUUGGUGAGGAGAAGAUUGCCGCCAAAGUGGAUUAUUUGAAGAAGACGUUCAAGUGGUCCGAUACUGAGGUGGCCAUUGCUCUGUCUAAGGCUCCAAUGUUGCUGAAGAGAUCUAAAGACCUGCUUAGGCGCAGGUCUGAGUUCUUGCUAUCUGAACUGGGGUUGGAACCGGUGUAUAUUGCUCAUCGGCCCGUCAUAAUCUAUUAUAGCCUGGAGGGCCGGCUCAUGCCUCAGUAUUACGUUGUAAAGUUUCUCCAGGAAAAUAGAUUGGUGGAUCGCAACCUGAGCUACUAUACUGUGGUUAAGAGGGCCGAGAAGGAUUUCGUGGAGAAGUAUAUAUGCCCUCACAAGGAAGCUGCACCACACCUCGCUGAAGACUAUGCAACUGCUUGCAAAGGGGAAGUGCCAACUAAUUUCAGAUUUACUUGA
This 1182-nucleotide ribosomal RNA is filed under the name Triticum aestivum (bread wheat). RNAcentral describes it as "partial small subunit ribosomal RNA". The record is from RNAcentral. Lineage: Eukaryota; Viridiplantae; Streptophyta; Magnoliopsida; Poales; Poaceae.